Molecule: ribosomal RNA, 725 nt
Filed under: uncultured Bacillus sp.
Lineage: Bacteria; Bacillati; Bacillota; Bacilli; Caryophanales; Bacillaceae
Description: bacterial SSU rRNA
Rfam family: Bacterial small subunit ribosomal RNA
Source: RNAcentral
CUAAUACAUGCAAGUCGAGCGGACAGAUGGGAGCUUGCUCCCUGAUGUUAGCGGCGGACGGGUGAGUAACACGUGGGUAACCUGCCUGUAAGACUGGGAUAACUCCGGGAAACCGGGGCUAAUACCGGAUGGUUGUCUGAACCGCAUGGUUCAGACAUAAAAGGUGGCUUCGGCUACCACUUACAGAUGGACCCGCGGCGCAUUAGCUAGUUGGUGAGGUAACGGCUCACCAAGGCGACGAUGCGUAGCCGACCUGAGAGGGUGAUCGGCCACACUGGGACUGAGACACGGCCCAGACUCCUACGGGAGGCAGCAGUAGGGAAUCUUCCGCAAUGGACGAAAGUCUGACGGAGCAACGCCGCGUGAGUGAUGAAGGUUUUCGGAUCGUAAAGCUCUGUUGUUAGGGAAGAACAAGUGCCGUUCAAAUAGGGCGGCACCUUGACGGUACCUAACCAGAAAGCCACGGCUAACUACGUGCCAGCAGCCGCGGUAAUACGUAGGUGGCAAGCGUUGUCCGGAAUUAUUGGGCGUAAAGGGCUCGCAGGCGGUUUCUUAAGUCUGAUGUGAAAGCCCCCGGCUCAACCGGGGAGGGUCAUUGGAAACUGGGGAACUUGAGUGCAGAAGAGGAGAGUGGAAUUCCACGUGUAGCGGUGAAAUGCGUAGAGAUGUGGAGGAACACCAGUGGCGAAGGCGACUCUCUGGUCUGUAACUGACGCUGAGGAGCG